Long non-coding RNA from Acipenser ruthenus (sterlet), 4553 nucleotides. RefSeq lists it as uncharacterized. The transcript is spliced from 3 exons. NCBI's taxonomy places the organism in Eukaryota, Metazoa, Chordata, Actinopteri, Acipenseriformes, Acipenseridae. The record is from RefSeq and is a predicted model, not a curated record.
AUGGUUUUCAGCAGCUUAGUUUUCAGCUAUGAACCUUGCUGAGCUUAAACCUUUUUUAAAUAAGUUUCAUUGAUGUGAUGAAUACGCUGGUGUCAUACAAAGAACAGCCCUUAACAGCACUUUAUUUGUGGUGUCACAUGGCCAAAUGUUUUGUGGGGACCCCACAACCCCACACUAAAAGAAUCCCUGUCUCCAAGAUUAGGUGCAAAACCUGAUUGUACCAACUGACAAUAUCAAUGCUAGUAGGAGUUAAUAGGAGUUUCAGGUGGUGUCAAAUGCAGUAGUACUUUACUUGACAUGAGUACAUGCUAAAUGACGUGAUCCAGGUUUUUGUGUUAGUCUUUAAGAAUUGCUUUUGUAUGUUUACCAGAAUGGUAUGUAAUGACCGUGUAAAAUGAGCAUGAAAUGUGGUUAUGUGUUAUAUGUAUCCUCUAAUUAUGAUUCACUGUGAAGCAUCCGCAUAUAUAACUAUAUGCAAGCACUUUUAUACAAUGUUUUCCAGAUUAUGUCCCGGACCAAAUCAAAACUUUGACAACCUGCUAAUCGCACUUAACAAAACUGUAUUUAAUAGCAUUUUCUUUUUAUGAGUAGAAGAAAUAAGAUACUUACAAAAAAAAAAAAACGCUAUUAAAUACAGUUUUGUUUAGUGCGAUUAGCGGGUUGUCAAAGUUUUGAUUUGGUCCCAGCCUAUGUGUAAUUAAUGACUUUCCUACAUAUACAUUGAUGGUGAUAGUGCUGUUAUUGUUUUUCAUUUUUAAACAGCUUUUUCCUUGGGUAACAUUCCAUACAUUGUCAUUACAGUACCAUAUGUACCAUAUAAGGCUAAUUCUCAGCCUUUUUAUUGUCAUUCAUAAUGCUUUUGAAUCAAGAAAAAUAAAGUAGGUGAUGGAGAGAUCUGUGCUUUCUUUUUAAGUUGCUUUACUGUAACUUGUCCUUGUUGAGCAACGUUUACCCCUGUGAUUCAAGGAUUUAUCCCUUGUAAAAUAAGUACAUAUCAAUUAGUUUAUUAAAUAACAUUGUAAGGGUUACAUUCUUUAUGCAUGAACAAAUAUCAGUGAAGUGCACUGUAGUGUUGCCUGCCAGAUCUAUAAAACAGUAGUGGAAAAAAUGAUGGCAACUCUUGUAUUUAAUAAGUAAUGUAUUGAUCUCAGGCCCAACAAUGUGCAAACAUUAUGUAAAAGAAGAAUACUUAACUGUGUAGAUUGCAGCCCAGCUGUAAAGGUGUAUGUAAGACUCUGGUGGUGUUGAUAACAAAGGGUUUAGAAAGAAUGAUAAAAAGCUCUUAAAGUGAUGGCUUGUAAUUUGUCAAUGAAAUUGUGACUCAGGUUACACAAAGACUUAGUCUUAAUGGAUAAGGAGCAGCUAGAAAGAAAGUCCAUAUAUUAAGCCAACAUAACAGUAUAAAGAUUUAGUUUAAAUUCAGCUUGCAUUGAUCAACAACCAUCAAUGACAGGAUGUGGCAAACAAUGAUACCAUUCAUGGUGGUGAACCUGUUCAUCCCUUUGGGGUUGGUUGAUAAAUAAAGCUGUUUUUGAAUUUGAAUUCAAUCACAUCUCGCGUGAUUAGACACGUACGCAGCGUGGAUCGUGCAAUGAUGCAGAGAGCACUGGACAAGUUUGUAAUCAAACAGUGACUGCGCCACAGCAUUGUGCAGGAAUAACCAGCAGCCGCACAUCCUGUGAUCUCAGAGUGAGGUUUGGAAGAUACGGGGUCAGUAACUCCUAUGAUCUCUGGUAAUUUGAGAAACCUACUUCGAAAGUAGAAGAGAACACAGAGUUUAUUUUUAACAUCUUACACAUGCUAAGCUCACUUUUGAUCUUUGUAUCUUUUCAAAGGAAGUUUCAGCAUUAGUCUGUUCCAAGUGCUCUACGUGUCCUGAGGGUUAAUGUAGACCUGCACAUACUGGUUAUAGAGCAAUAUAUGACAACUAAUGCUGUUAGAUUACAAAUGAUUGUUUAUAACAAGCGUUCUAGCAUGGUCUCAUGGGCUCUUACAGAUGCAGGAGGCAAGAGGUGGAAAAAAUGACAAAUGACAAAUAUGCCGUUAUCGAUCCACAACCCAGUCCUAUUAAAUGUCAAGCUUUGGCCUGAGUAUCUAACCAAGAUAAAUGUAGAUCUGCAGUACUGAUAAACAUAAGGCUUUGGUGCUCUUAUAUAAGCAAAAUAGAUGCUGCUUAAUAUAUGUAGCAGUUGAUUAAUAAUUAAUAUUACUGUAGAAUAACUGCAGGAUGUCUGCAUAGAAUACAUUGUGGUGUUUCUAGAUCUAGGUUGUGGGGGCUGGAGAAGAUCUCUGAUGUCAAUACUACAUACCAUACAAUAGAUACAACUAGUGACUAUACUGCACAGGGGAUGUAAGAGUAAUUCCACAUGUGUUGUACGUUUUGGUGCACUCUAACAGUGCAUGGAAGCCUCUUUAGUGUUUUGUUUUCAGUAAAAGUAAUGUAUAAUGCUGUGGAGCUAAUGUAUUAAGAUACGUUAACAGGGCACCAUGAGUUAAAGUGAAGUAACUUUGUAAAUACAGCUAUGGCCAAACAUUUUGCAUCACCCUAUAGAAUGAAAUCAUUUUGCUUCAUAAAGUCGAAAGAAACCUGCUGAAUAAUGUUACGUUAACAUAUUCAAUUACAUACCGCUUUGUAAUUUUUCAUAUACUUGCAAUACUGACAAAAAUUAUUAAAUCUCACAUGAAGUAAUGUACUGCUGUUAGGGAUUCCAAUAGACUUUUUUUGUAGUUUCUUUGAUUAAAUAAUGUUAGAUAAAAGAUCUAAAUGAUGGUCAUAUAGUUUUUUAAAAUUAUGUCUCAAUCCUACAAUUCUAGGUGAUGCAAAACUUUUGGCCUUAGCUGUACAUUUAUUUAAACUGCACAACCCUCCCAAGUACAGUACUACAAUCACAUUUAGUGAUAUACUGUAGAAUGUAAUACCAGUAAAAAAUAAUUCAAUAUGGGACAGCCAAAUAGUUUAUAGAAAAACUAAUAGUGGGCACCAUUCAGGUAGACCUAACUGCCUGGUGGUAAACACAUGUCUAGUAAUUAAGCUCUGGUUUCUGGGCCUGUCAGAGAAGAGACUUACAAAGUGGUGAUACAUGUGAUAAGCACUGAUCGUAAAUGAAUCAUGAGGCUAACAGCAGCCUGAGAUACCUUAACAAGUAACUGUGGGAACUGAAGCAUGCUGAUGACCUACUACACAUUUUUAUUGAAGCAGACUAGUAAAUGCAUCUCUUAUCUGACUGUCUAACAAUUCAGGUUAUGCCUUCCAGCGCAACAAAUAUAUUUGUAAAAGAGUUCUUCACCAGCCACCCUGCAGCCCCUGUAUGAAACAAAGCCAGGACCGAGAGCAGGGGACUUGGAGAGUCUUCAUAAAUAUUGUUUUCAUGCCUGCAUCUCACAGAAAACAGAAUAAAGACUUUGGCAUCCAUUCAAACAUCCAUUACUAACCAAAUCAUUUUUGCUGAGAGAUUUAAGAUUACUCCAGUCAAAAGAAAAUGUUGUGUUGCCAAAUAUGUUCUGGUGUUUAAUUUAGUGAGUAACAUCAAAGAUAUUGGAGGUCUGCAGUGUUUGAUUUCUGAUAAUGUUUACUUGUAUUAUGUUACAGACUGAAACUUUAUAGGCAGUCCAUAAUUAAGACUACGUGUGUGUAUGUGAUUUUGUUGAAUUUUUUAUACACAAAUAUGCUUACUUAGACUUGAAAUGUCUUAAAUGAUGCAAGAAAUGUCUACACUGUAUUUUAGUGAAAAAAUAUAGUAACCUAUUUUAGCUUGUGUUAUUUUGGAAUACCAUUGCUUCUGACUCAGGGGCGCCGGAGCCAGGGGGGUCAUGACCCCUCAUCGUUUGACAAAAGCAACAUCAGCACAGUGGAAAAAGGCACUUGUGUAGCACACAAUGUUUAGUUGCGGUUAUAAUCUGUGUAACUUUUACUUUGUGAGAAUUUUGUUUGAAAUAAAGUGCUACACCCUCACCCUCACUCCCCAGACCUUGCCUUAGGGCCUCAUUCACUAAACGGUGGUAAAUGACCAGAUUUACCGCGUGGCAGGGGGAAGUCACACUGAGCGGAAUAAUGAAGCAGUGGUCGCUCUAUUCACUAAGCUAAUUAUAAGCACAAAUAAAGCAAGCUAAAUUAUUCAUUUGCACGUUGUCACAUCAUGCAGAAUUAUGUAAGAGGUUUACACACACAUUAUUAUAGUAUAUAAGGGCGCUUGAAAGAAAAGGUAAGUACGAUUCUGAGUUUGUCACAAUGAGCGACCCAGGAGGACAGAUUGAGGAAUCUAAUGUUUACAGACCAGGAGCUAAAUGUAUUAAAUGUAAAAGUGGUAGGGAAUUAUGAAAGGCUUUUUGGUGCUGAAUCAGCGAGAACAUUAACUUCAAAGAAGAGGACCAUUUGGCAAAACAUGAAGGACAAAAUAAAUGUGCUCCAUAGGAGGAGGGGUGGGGUAGUCUUGCUUGCCCCAAAGACUCACAACAUCCUGUGUGACAGUCAAAGCGGAGAAAGUAAUUGUUAAUGGAACAUUUAUGUUUAACUCUCUCUGCAAAUCAAAUCAAAUAAAUAUUUGUUUGUUCAA